Columba livia (rock pigeon) is the source of this 2578-nucleotide long non-coding RNA. RefSeq lists it as uncharacterized. The transcript is spliced from 3 exons. NCBI's taxonomy places the organism in Eukaryota, Metazoa, Chordata, Aves, Columbiformes, Columbidae. The record is from RefSeq and is a predicted model, not a curated record.
GUCUUUAUUUCCUAAGGGAAUGCAGAUACUGGCAGUGGGCAUCCGGAGCAGGUGGCUGCUGGGUCACUUUGGUCAGCAGGACUGGAAGAGAGCCACUGUUUGCUCCCUGCAUGGUGUGCCAACCCUUGUGUUUGGUAGUGACAUGGCUUCUGCUGGUUGCAUCUCUGCCACUUCCUGGACAGCACCAACAUGAUCUACAUGGGCCAGAAGCCUUCAGUGUUUGGCAGUUCUAGCUGGGACGGGACUUCGCAGUCAAUCUCCUCAGCAGCAAACUAUUGCAAGUAUUGGAAGCUGUCUGCUUGCUGUGGGACCCUGAGCCAAAUUUUAUACCUGAGUCUUUAUGUUCAAGAUUGCCUGGCCUGGGCCCCUGCUAUGGGAUGCACGGUAUGGCCGACAGUUGCUUAAAAAUUAAGCAAGUGUUUGCAAAAUAAAUCCCACAUGUAGCAAUCAUGGUGAGGAUCAGGUCAGAACUUUUGGGAGGGAAGGUACAGGACUAUGCAUUGAGCUCUCCUGGAAUGGUUGCAAACUUUGCUGCCUUCUGUGCCAAGGACCAGGUGUCAUGAAAUUUCUUUUAUAGCAUAAAUAAACAGUGAUCUGUAGCUUCCUAUAGCAUAAAUACACAAUAAUCUGUAAUAUUAAACCAAACCAAACCAAACCUAAAAUUUGCCAAACCUGCACUUCUUAGGAGUGUGUCCCUGCUCCUGGUUGUACCCUUCUGCACCCUCCUUUGCUUUGGCUCUGGUACUCGCCUGGCCCCUUGGAAUACUGAUAUAGUCUACUAAUCCAGCAGAAAAGUAACCCAGCUAAAAAGAAGGUUGAAUUUUGGGCUUCCUUUAUUUAUUUUCUGUUAGGUUAGUGAGCUGCCUUGGCUCCCAGAGGGGUCAGGUGAAGGCCAGAGCUUGGGUGCAGGAGGCAGUAGGAUUGCAUGGCCUGGAAGAGGUUGUAGCAAAAGGUUAGAUGUGCUCAGCCAACUUUCUAGGCUGUUUUCUUGGUGCACCACAAGAAAGUGCCCAGAUGCAGGGGCCAGGUGCAAUGUGCAGGGCAGAAGGCACUACUGGAGAAUUUCUUUCAGCGGUGGCAAUUCUGGAGGUGAGCAGAACCUUUCCCUAUGUGGGUUAUGUUCGCCCGUUUGCUACUCAGCCCUCCACUGCUUUCAAAACCAUGCUGUGAGUACUAGGACAAAACCUUCAGCCCAGCUGUCUCUCAGCUACCAAAAUAUCUCCUUUGCCCCUUGACCAGCUGUCAAAACUUUCCUGGCCUUCCUAGAACAAGCAUCUUAGAGAAUGUUUCCCUUGGCUUAUGAGAAAUAGGAGGGAUGGACUGGAGACAACUAUUGGGACUGUGCGUUUGAUGCCAGGUGCCUGUCCUAAGCAAGCCUGUUCAUUGGGGCUGCCACCCCUCACCUUUGCAAUGCCCCCAGCUUGGUGUGCUCUGUGGGAUGAGAUUGUGGUUCAAGGAAGAAAGUGCUUCAGAUCAAAAAGUUGUGCAGCUCCAAAGCCAAGAAAAAAAGCCUUAAUUAUUCAACUAGUUUGAAACACUUUAAAGUAUCUCUAAAAAUAGGUGAGAGGGAUGUUUGUCAGCUACAAAGAGAUUAUCCUGCAGUAGUAUUGCUUGUAUUAUUUUAUGAUGAUGCUACAGAAUACAGUCCCUCAGGUAGCCUCAUUAAUGUUUAUGAAUGAACCCCUUGUUUUAUGCUCUUGGUUUUAGAAGGCAGAAAUAGGACAAGAAGCUAGUAAGACUGGUUUUACCAUAUAUGCCUUGGAAAGCCCCAGGACACGGGUGUAAGGUCUCUAUAAGCCUCAGUGGUUCUGUGUAUGGAUGACAAUUGGAUUUGGGUGCUUGCUAGACCAGCUGAGAAGGUGUACCCAUAGGGGGAAAUCCAGGCAGGGCUUUGGCUGAAAUCCUGGGUGAAAUUCAGCAUGCUUCCCUGCGGAUCUGCCAGUGGAUGUUGGCACUCCUCUGUGUUUCAUCACCCGUUUUGUUUCGAUCUGUUCCAGCAAAGGCAACCCUAUAGCCAUAAGUGCUUUCACAAGGCAGUAUCUGGUAAACCCCACUGUCUGUCAGCAUCUCAGCCCAGGGUGGAGUCUGCUUUUCACUAUCUAUUCCUUAAAGAGGGCAACUGUUUCUUCUGGCUAUCUUAAAAGAAGGGUGGCAGUUACACCCAGCCCAUAACAGUAUGUGGUGGUUUCUGAGUCUUACCGCUCCAGCCUUAAAAUAACAGUUCUUUUUUCUGAGCCAAGCAACAAUUGUGGUCAGCCACUAAUACCAGUUUAACCAUUUGGCAGCUGCUCUAUAGGGAGAAGCUCUGUCAAGAGAGCCAGGGGAGCUCUUGUCCCUGUAGCCUCAGAGCCAUGCUGGGUUGAUUUCAGUCAGAAGGGCAUGUUUACACACUUCCUUGUAUACAAUCAGCCUCUACAAUAACAACCAAAUUCUAGAAAGUUGAUACCAAACAAACUGUGGAAUUAGGUUAGAAAUAGUAAACAAAGUUGUUUUGGUGUUUUAUUUUAUGAAUGAUUGAGUAAAACUCCCUGAUCCCCCAGACAAGCAUGCAGUUGCUUGCUCUGUAGUUCCUUUCCCA